GUGAAGAACGUAGCGAAAUGCGAUAAGUAAUGCGAAUUGCAGAAUUCCGUGAGUCAUCGAAUCUUUGAACGCACAUUGCGCCCUCUGGUAUUCCGGAGGGCAUGCCUGUCUGAGCGUCAUUGUCAACCCUCAAGCUCAGCUUGCUGUUGGGUCCCCGUCGUUGCUUUAACGGCGGACCCGAAAGGUAAUGGCAGAGUCCGUGAGACCCUAGACGCAGCGAGCUUCUAGCACGCGUCUGGACGUUUUUCGGGCUCGGUCUUAACUAGAUGAUAACUUCCGAUUGACCUCAGAUCAGGUAGGGAUACCCGCUGAACUUAAGCAUAUCAAUAAGCGGAGGA
RNAcentral lists this unclassified non-coding RNA (338 nucleotides) under soil metagenome. Its description in RNAcentral is "partial contains 5.8S ribosomal RNA, internal transcribed spacer 2, and large subunit ribosomal RNA". The stretch from base 2 to 119 matches the Rfam family "5.8S ribosomal RNA", at positions 37 to 154 of the family's 154-position model. The record is from RNAcentral.